CACAAAGCAUCAUGAUUAUUCUGCUCCUAAGCAUCUAUUUAAACUAUAAUCUAGUUUCAGGUUCCUCAUUAAGUGACCAAGUCCACCAGAGUCCAGCAAACAUUUAUACAAAAGGAGAAGAAGCUAAAAUCUACUGCUGGCACAGUAUUCCAAGCUAUGACACAAUCCUCUGGUACAAGCAGUCAGAAAAAAAGCUGCAACUGCUUGGAUACACGUAUUAUGAUAACAGUUACCCAGAACCUGGAGUAAAUAUAACAAUGGACGGGGAUGCAAGACAACACAAGAACUGCACAUUAACGAUUAAGUUCCUCUUUAAGUGACCAAGUCUCCCAGGAUCCUGCUGACAUUUAUACAAAAGGAGAAGAUGCUAAAAUCUACUGCUCACACAGUAUUCCCA
Astatotilapia calliptera (eastern happy) is the source of this 397-nucleotide long non-coding RNA. Lineage: Eukaryota; Metazoa; Chordata; Actinopteri; Cichliformes; Cichlidae. The record is from Ensembl.